UACGUAGGGGGCAAGCGUUGUCCGGAUUUAUUGGGCGUAAAGAGCGUGUAGGCGGUUUGGUAGGUCCGCUGUGAAAACUCGAGGCUCAACCUCGAGACGCCGGUGGAAACCAUCAGGCUAGAGUCCGGAAGAGGAGAGUGGAAUUCCUGGUGUAGCGGUGAAAUGCGCAGAUAUCAGGAGGAACACCGAUGGCGAAGGCAGCUCGCUGGGACGGUACUGACGCUGAGACGCGAAAGCGUGGGGAGCAAACAGG
RNAcentral lists this ribosomal RNA (253 nucleotides) under uncultured bacterium. RNAcentral's name for it is "partial 16S ribosomal RNA". It matches the Rfam family "Bacterial small subunit ribosomal RNA", at positions 524 to 776 of the family's 1533-position model. The record is from RNAcentral.